CGUAAAUAAGAAAAGGAGAAAAUACAGUGAAACGGGUAGAGGGAUGGCAUCGACGGUGGUGAAGGGAGCUUUGAAGGCGAUCAGAGAGAAAGGGUUCGGCACCUUUCUGCGAGAGCUCAGGGAAGAAGGCUACACGAAGUGCCUUUUGGAUGGAAAUUUGUUGCAAACGAAAAUCCACAACAUAGGGGCAACACUUGUGGGGGUGGACAAAUUUGGCAAUAAGUAUUAUGAGAGACUUGAAGACACACAAUUUGGAAGGCACCGAUGGGUUGAAUAUGUAGAAAAGGGUCGCUAUAAUGCUUCUCAGGUGCCACCAGAAUGGCAUGGUUGGCUUCAUUUCAUAACUGAUCACACAGGGGAUGAGCUCCUGAUGCUAAGACCUAAGAGGUACGGGGUUGAGCACAAAGAGAAUCUCUCUGGAGAAGGUGAGGAGUAUAUAUACCAUUCCAAAGGACAUGCUCUCAAUCCUGAUCAGAAGGACUGGACCAGGUAUCAACCUUGGCAACCCGCUAAGUCAGAGUAAUUCUUUGGGGCCACCAACAUCCUGUAAACUUGGAAAUUAUGGCAAUUUGAAUCUAUUCAAAUGAAUAAAGCAUGUGCUUAUUUGAGGCUGUAAAACUUUUGUUCCUGGAGGACUUUGAAUGUCAACUUCAUAUGUUUGGUGAAACUUAUUUUCUCAAUGGUUUUAUUGUGGACUGCUGUCGAUUUUGGUUUUAGUUGCUUAAGUACUGAU
RNAcentral lists this unclassified non-coding RNA (733 nucleotides) under Hevea brasiliensis (rubber tree). Lineage: Eukaryota; Viridiplantae; Streptophyta; Magnoliopsida; Malpighiales; Euphorbiaceae. The record is from RNAcentral.